UACGAAGGGUGCUAGCGUUAUUCGGAAUUACUGGGCGUAAAGGGUGUGUAGGCGGUUUAUCAAGUCUGCUGUUAAAUUUCCCGGCUCAACUGGGAAUCCGCAGCGGAAACUGAUUUACUAGAGUAUGGAAGAGAGAGGUGGAAUUCUCGGAGUAGCGGUAAAAUGCGUAGAUCUCGAGAGGAACACCGAUGGCGAAGGCAGCCUCUUGGUCCAUUACUGACGCUGAGACACGAAAGCGUGGGUAGCAAACAGG
Molecule: ribosomal RNA, 253 nt
Filed under: uncultured bacterium
Lineage: Bacteria
Description: partial 16S ribosomal RNA
Rfam family: Bacterial small subunit ribosomal RNA
Source: RNAcentral